RNAcentral lists this small RNA (445 nucleotides) under Arabidopsis thaliana (thale cress). RNAcentral's name for it is "ATSL114240". The record is from RNAcentral. Lineage: Eukaryota; Viridiplantae; Streptophyta; Magnoliopsida; Brassicales; Brassicaceae.
AUAAUAAAUUAAAGAUUUAAUCCGUAUUGAAAUUGUGGAUUAAUUAUAUUUUACUUUUUUAUUAAUGUUGAUUCAAAAACCCGUCCCUCCAAAUCCGUCUUGCCAAAAAGCCAUUUAUUUUAUUAAUAUUAAUUUUAUUAAUGACAUGACUCUGAAUUAUAAUCUAAACAUUUUAUCUAAUAACAAAUGAGUGCACCAUAUUUAUUUAAUAGGAGACUGUACCAUAUGACCCGAAUGCACUUUUAUCCAAAUCCACCAAAAAAGUCUUGCAAAAAUACUAUAGAGAUAAGAAACGAUAGUCGGUUUUGAUAGGUAUAAGAUUAGCAACUAUAUAAGUUAGCUUAAAUUAGUUAAAGAAUACAAAUUGAAAAGAUAUAUUACACUUUAUUCGAAUAUAGUAUCAAAACUUAUAUAACACAGAGAUUUGAUAAUUUUUUAAUUAUUG